Trichoplusia ni (cabbage looper) is the source of this 821-nucleotide long non-coding RNA. RefSeq lists it as uncharacterized. The record is from RefSeq and is a predicted model, not a curated record. Lineage: Eukaryota; Metazoa; Arthropoda; Insecta; Lepidoptera; Noctuidae. The transcript has 3 exons.
CUAAUUCGACCUUCAAAUUUUCAGGCUAAUGAUGAUGAAGUAUCUGUAUGGGCGAUAACUUUGGCUGGUGAUGCGAUUUAUCGAACUGGAGUUACCGCCACAACGCCCGCAGGUGUUCAUUGGGAGCAUGUAAACAAUCCACAAUCACUUAUAGCUAUUAGCACUUGCAAUAAUAUAGUUUGGGUAGUGGGACGAAAAGGCGAACUAUAUUACAGAGAAGAUAUUACGAAAGAAAAUCCGUCAGGUAGUAAUUGGAGAUUGAUCGAAACUCCGAAAUGUAACUACCCUUAUGGUCACAAGUCCAGUGCUGGCGCUAAGGCUUUGUCAUUGACCACUGCUGCAGCUUGGGUUUUACUCUCGAAUGGCACUAUUGCAGUAAGGACGGAGGUAUCCAAGGAGAAACAAGAAGGAAAGGAAUGGAAGUAUUUAUCAGAAUGUGAAACGACAUUCAAACACGUAUCAGCUACAAACAACGAAGUGUGGUCAGUAACUUCAGACGGCACAUUGCAGCGACGACUUGGAAUAACUGCUGAGAAUCCUAUCGGCUCUGCCUGGCAAACUGUGCUGUCUGGCAGCCUGGUUCAUGUGUCGGCAAGAGGGGAUUGUUUACAUUAAAACCAUCUUCGAAUACUUAGUACCAUUCCCAGAUCUCCCAGUUGUAUGUAUGAUAAUAUAUAUUAUGUAGAACACACAAAAUCGCUGAUUCAUUCUGCAUCGUAUUUCUCAUACUCCAUAUUACAUUGCUGAGGCCAUCUUUCUAUAUGACAUGGCUUGCCACUGAAAGAGUAUUAUAAAAUUAGUUUAGAUGGCGUUUACUAUGA